UACGUAGGUGGCAAGCGUUGUCCGGAUUUACUGGGCGUAAAGGAUGCGUAGGCGGACAUUUAAGUCAGAUGUGAAAUACCCGAGCUUAACUUGGGUGCUGCAUUUGAAACUGGGUGUCUAGAGUGCAGGAGAGGUAAGUGGAAUUCCUAGUGUAGCGGUGAAAUGCGUAGAGAUUAGGAAGAACACCAGUGGCGAAGGCGACUUACUGGACUGUAACUGACGCUGAGGCAUGAAAGCGUGGGGAGCAAACAGGAUUAGAAACCCCAGUAGU
This 271-nucleotide ribosomal RNA is filed under the name uncultured bacterium. RNAcentral's name for it is "partial 16S ribosomal RNA". It matches the Rfam family "Bacterial small subunit ribosomal RNA", at positions 524 to 794 of the family's 1533-position model. The record is from RNAcentral.